This 913-nucleotide long non-coding RNA is filed under the name Homo sapiens (human). Its description in RNAcentral is "HSALNT0294682". The record is from RNAcentral. Lineage: Eukaryota; Metazoa; Chordata; Mammalia; Primates; Hominidae.
CUUUCUUUCUUUCUAUUUUUUUUUUCUUUUUACAGAGUCUCCCUCUGUCCCCCAGAAUGGAACAGUCAUGGAUCCUGACUCACUGCCACCUUGACUUCCGGGACUCAAGGAAUCCCCCCACCUCUGCCUCCUAAAGUGCUGGGAUUACAGGCCAGGCAUGAGCCACCAGCUGGGCUAGAAUUUACAUUUUUAACAGGUUCCCAAAUGCAAGUUGAUGCUGCUGGUCUAGGGACGCAUCUUGUGAAUCUGUACAGUGAUAAACCUGCACUUGAGAAGGUUCAAAUUUCACUUCAUCCACCCUUUAUUGUGGACCAAGUUAGACAGGAUGAGAGGAGAUGCUGGGCUUUGGUUAAAGAGCAGAGGUGGAGAAAAAGAUGGAGAGUAUAAGGCAGUUCCUUGGAAAUAGAGUGGAUACUGAGGGAAUAUGAUGACAUAGAGGAGGGAUGACCCGAGGGGCACAGCCGCAGCCAUGACUAUGGAUCUAUGAUUUUGGGUUGUGUAAAGAGAUCAAUGCCCCCAAAUGAGUGCUGCAGACCAGGUUCUGAAUGUGACUCGGUGACAGCUUGAGGUCUUCUCAACAUCACCAGGACAGGACCUGGGCUUGAGGACCAUCUGUCAUCUCACUCUGGAUCACCUCCCUUCCCUCCAUGACUCAGGGAGAAAGAACCCAGGCCUUCAACUCCUAGCUACGGCCCCUUCCUGGAAAAAUAUCUGUUAGAUUAAAAGUUCACAUACCAGCUUAGCUACUUACCUGGUAUGGAACCCUAGACAAGCUACUUAACUUCUCUGUGCCUCAGUUUCCUCAUCUAACAAAUGGAGAUAACAUUAUCUUCCUCAUAUUUAUUAUAAGAAUUCAGCGCAAACACACGUAAAGAGAUUGGAAGAGUGCCAGUCACAUAAUAAACAUUCAGAA